AAAGUGGUAGCUCAGUUGGAAGAGUGUUUGCCCAACACGCAAGAGGUCGCAAGUUCAAAUCUUGCCCACUUUC
Molecule: transfer RNA, 73 nt
Filed under: Winogradskyella sp.
Lineage: Bacteria; Pseudomonadati; Bacteroidota; Flavobacteriia; Flavobacteriales; Flavobacteriaceae
Description: tRNA-Val
Rfam family: tRNA
About the family: Transfer RNA (tRNA) molecules are approximately 80 nucleotides in length. Their secondary structure includes four short double-helical elements and three loops (D, anti-codon, and T loops).
Source: RNAcentral